This 2984-nucleotide long non-coding RNA is filed under the name Amborella trichopoda. RNAcentral's name for it is "long non-coding RNA (ATRI_LNC002910)". The record is from RNAcentral. Lineage: Eukaryota; Viridiplantae; Streptophyta; Magnoliopsida; Amborellales; Amborellaceae.
AACAAUAAGUGUAUACAAUUAUAAUUAUAUAGAUACUAUAAAACAUAUACCCAUUCUUUUUACAAAAAAAAGGUGGGCAAACAUCAAUGUCAUAAAUAAAAUUACACAUAUGAGACAAAUUUUUUGAACGUCUGCUUUUUUAGGGACCAUAGCAACAUAUUUGCACUUUUCUUUCUCAGACAGAGAUGCAUCUACUUCAUCAGCAGCACGAGCAUUUGGCCUCUAAGACACGAACCUUUUAACCACAUGCUUCUAUCUUCACCUAGAAUUUCAUCACACCACUCUAAAUAGCUGCAUCCAGUCUCAUUCUAGUUGUUAACACGAUAAGAUAAAUAUGUGUUAGAUAUAUGCUUACAAUGGAACACCAAUAUGCUUCUACAUUAUCUUAAUGAAAGAAUAUUACAUACCUUCCAGUUAGAGCAUUAUUAGAAAUGCCAAUUGUAGUUAUCAUGUGUCUUUGAUAUAAACACACGUAUCCGAUGACAUCCUGGUUUGCAUUUACAAAUCCUUGGAGGGAAUUGAUUGUCGAGAUCCAUUCAGUUAAAAUGAUCAGAUGAGCUCAAAUGCCCUAUUCUCACUCUAUCACAUCCAUGGAUUGCAACAGCCAUUGAAGUGAACAUAUGCAAACUAUUUUAUCUGAGAGCAAAGAAAACACCACAAACCAAAAAGUAAAGCAUGAUAGGGAAUACCGUAGAGGAAAAAAGGUCACAAUUUUAUCAUAGUCGAUCUACAUAAACUCAUUUUAACUGAGUCAAGGGAACAUAAUCGAUACCUAAGGUAUACAGUAGAGGAAACAAAACCAUCACUUUCUUGAUUAUGAUGAAUGAUUGUAAUACUCCAAGUCCUAAGGAAUGCCAUUUCGAAAUUCCUGCAUUAUAUUGUCUCUCUAAAUGUGAUGUUUCCCUAAGUACUCUCUCUCUCUGAUAAAGCCUAUGGUUAAUAAGGAUACCAAGACUAGAUAAAAUGAGUUUAUAUCACAAUUUUAUCAUAUCGAUCUACAUAUAUGUCACAAUUUUCAGAGCAAAAAAGGUAUACAGUAGAGGAACAACACCUAGCUCAGGCAAUACCUACCUAAAAUUUUCAACACUGCUUCUAAGAAAACAUUUUGGAACAAAGUGGAAAAAGAAUUUCUACAUGCUUCAUCAUCUUCAUAUGGAAGUACGAAUCGGAAGCUAUUGAAUGGUGCUUAUGUUGGUUCAUGUCACAACAAAGGCCAAAAAUGCCAACUUUCAUGAAACUCUGACUAACAUCUAAAUAAACCGAGGAAACUAACAUUCUUUACAUAAAACCAAUGAAGUGAAUCAAAAUUAGUAAUUAUUGUAACAAUCGAACAAUGAAAAACUAUAACACAAGUAUCACAAUUAACUGAUGAAUCUAUUAACUGAUGAAUCUAUCAAUGAAAAACUAAAACACAAGUAUCACAAUUAACUGAUGAAUCUAUUAACUGAUGAAUCUAUCAAUGAAAAACUAAAACACAAGUAUCACAAUAUAUACCAUUUUUAAAUCUUAAUUUGUUUCCCAUAUGUAUAAUAUUCAAGGCCAAAUAAUUUGAUGCAAAGAUUUUUAAUACUUGAACUACAAUUUUAGAUGACUUAUGCAGUGAGACUUUAUUUAUUUUAACAGGGUAGCAGCCCUGUUGCACCAUUAUUGGCAACUCUAGUUCGUGGGUGGGAACACUUACCUUAAAGAGUCACCUUUUUGUUCCAAUGGAGGGAGAGGUUCUAGAGAGAGAAUGAAGUGUGUGUGAGAGAGUUAAAGGGCUCGAUUUAUAUCGUGAGUUAGUGAAAGAAAAGCUUAGAGAAAUUGGGUAUUGUUCUACAACAAUACUUGAAUAUCCCAAAUACUAAGCAACAUUUUUACCUCGAUCAUUAUUCAACCGUUGAAAACCAGAAUACACAGGGUUUUGCAUCAAAUACAAAGAAAAAACCAUAUAUUUGCCAAUAAACGAAAGAAAACUAUAAAUAAUAUCUACAACAAUACUUGAAUAACCCAAAUACUAUGCAACAUUUUUACCUCGAUCAUUAUUCAACAGAUGGAAACCAAAAUACACAGGGUUUUGCAUCAAAUACAGAGAAACAACCAUAUAUUUGCCAAAAAAUGAAAGCAAACUAAAACAAAAACAAAAUUCUGAGAAAAAAAUGCAAUAAAAAAAUCUAGGCAGAACAUGCUACAGAGAACGAACCAUAUAUACAAAUGAUUUUGCUCAGUAUUUGGGAUAUUCAAGAAAUGAAAACAAAAUCUGGGCAAAAAUGCUAUAAAAACGAAAACAAAAAUAUGGGCAAAAAAUGCUACAAAAAAAUCUAGACAAAAAAUGCUACAAAGAAAGAACCAUAUAUACACAGGGUUUUGCUCAAUAUUUUAGAUAUUCAAGAAACAAAAAAAAAUCUAGGCAAAAAUGCUAUAAAAACAAAAGAAAAAUUUGGGCAAAAAAUGCUACAGAGAAAGAACCAUAUAUACACAUGGUUUUGCUCAGUAUUUGGGACAUUCAAGAAACGAAAACAAAAUCUGGACAAAAAUGCUAUAAAAGUGAAAACCAGAGGAAACCAAUCUCGACAAAAAUGCUCAGAUUGGGUGCUGUUCUUUGGGUGUUUGGGGGUUUUAGUGUAUAUCGAGAGUGAAAACCAGAGGGUGAGAUGGAAAUAAAAAAACCAGAGAGAGAGAUGGAAAUAGAAAAAUGGGAGAGAAGAGAGACCGUUAGCAUACAUUGAGAGGAAGAGAGUUUUUGUACGAGAUCCGUGGGUUUGAGGAGCAAGGACAAAUGGUAGCAGUAGGGAGAGAGCUUGUUUUAGCAAGCAUAAGCUUCUCUGCGGAGGAGUGAGAAUACACGGAGAGGAGAGGGAAUAUGCAGAGAGAGAAUGUGCAUAGAGAAUAUGCAGAGAGAGCGAGAGGAGAGAGAAUAUAUAGAGAGAACGAGAGGAGAGAGAAUAAACAGAGAGCGAGAGGAGAGAGAAUACACAGAGAGAGCGAGAGGAGAGGGAGUACUC